UUGAACGCUGGCGGCAUGCCUUACACAUGCAAGUCGAACGGUAGAGGGGCAACCCUUGAGAGUGGCGAACGGGUGGGUAAUAUAUCGGAACGUGCCCAGUCGUGGGGGAUAACGCAGCGAAAGCUGCGCUAAUACCGCAUACGAUCUAUGGAUGAAAGCGGGGGAUCGCAAGACCUCGCGCGAUUGGAGCGGCCGAUAUCAGAUUAGGUAGUUGGUGGGGUAAAAGCCCACCAAGCCGACGAUCUGUAGCUG
Molecule: ribosomal RNA, 252 nt
Filed under: uncultured bacterium
Lineage: Bacteria
Description: partial 16S ribosomal RNA
Rfam family: Bacterial small subunit ribosomal RNA
Source: RNAcentral